Molecule: ribosomal RNA, 403 nt
Filed under: uncultured bacterium
Lineage: Bacteria
Description: bacterial SSU rRNA
Rfam family: Bacterial small subunit ribosomal RNA
Source: RNAcentral
UGGGGAAUAUUGCACAAUGGGGGAAACCCUGAUGCAGCGACGCCGCGUGAGCGAAGAAGUAUUUCGGUAUGUAAAGCUCUAUCAGCAGGGAAGAAGAAAGACGGUACCUGACUAAGAAGCCCCGGCUAACUACGUGCCAGCAGCCGCGGUAAUACGUAGGGGGCAAGCGUUAUCCGGAAUUACUGGGUGUAAAGGGAGCGUAGGCGGCAUGGUAAGCCAGAUGUGAAAGCCUUGGGCUUAACCCGAGGAUUGCAUUUGGAACUAUCAAGCUAGAGUACAGGAGAGGAAAGCGGAAUUCCUAGUGUAGCGGUGAAAUGCGUAGAUAUUAGGAAGAACACCAGUGGCGAAGGCGGCUUUCUGGACUGAAACUGACGCUGAGGCUCGAAAGCGUGGGGAGCAAACA